RNAcentral lists this ribosomal RNA (253 nucleotides) under uncultured bacterium. RNAcentral describes it as "partial 16S ribosomal RNA". It matches the Rfam family "Bacterial small subunit ribosomal RNA", at positions 524 to 776 of the family's 1533-position model. The record is from RNAcentral.
UACGUAGGGUGCGAGCGUUGUCCGGAAUUACUGGGCGUAAAGAGCGCGCAGGCGGUCGUUCAAGUCGCGUGUGAAAGCCCCCGGCUCAACUGGGGAGGGUCACGCGAUACUGAUCGACUCGAAGGCAGGAGAGGGAAGUGGAAUUCCCGGUGUAGUGGUGAAAUGCGUAGAUAUCAGGAGGAACACCAAUGGCGAAGGCAGCACUCUGGGACGUGACUGACGCUGAGACGCGAAAGCGUGGGGAGCAAACAGG